RNAcentral lists this ribosomal RNA (253 nucleotides) under uncultured bacterium. RNAcentral's name for it is "partial 16S ribosomal RNA". It matches the Rfam family "Bacterial small subunit ribosomal RNA", at positions 524 to 776 of the family's 1533-position model. The record is from RNAcentral.
UACGUAGGCAGCAAGCGUUGUUCGGAGUUACUGGGCGUAAAGGGUGCGUAGGCGGCUUUUUAAGUUUGGUGUGAAAUCUCCCGGCUCAACUGGGAGGGUGCGCCGAAUACUGAGAGGCUAGAGUGCGGGAGAGGAAAGUGGAAUUCCUGGUGUAGCGGUGAAAUGCGUAGAUAUCAGAAGGAACACCGGUGGUGUAAACGGCUUUCUGGACCGUAACUGACGCUGAUGCACGAAAGCUAGGGGAGCAAACGGG